UCUCUCCCCAGCCUGGAGCGCGCCAAGUAAUUGAGCCAAUCGGUGUUACCAGAGCGUUUGACGUCAUUAGUUGUCAAGGAGCAGGCGCGACCCGGAGGAUUCCUCCUCUGGAAUGGAAAUCUCAGGCAGCUAGGACAGAAGGCUUAGGAGGUGCGGUCGUUUUAUGUUUUCCUUUGUUUCUGGACGGUCCAUGAUCUGCAACCCAACCUUCUGCAGGAAUCUGUUGUCUUUCAAGAUGCUUGAGUCUGGCUUGACGUUCGCCCACAUCUUAAAAUCUGGAGGUGAAAGAUUCAAGAGCCUCAGAAGGUUGGGUGGACCCUGUCAGGUACCUUGGGGAACUGCUUCAAGGAUUGGCAGAAGCUGUUUUUCAACCCCCAAAAUGUUUUUACCUACAAAAUGUCGUGAUCACCGCUGAAACUACUUUCUUUUUCUCCUCCCUCUUUUACCAUGCUCAUACCUUAGAUGUCCACCCCCUAACAGAAGCCGAGAAAACAGCGUUUAGUAUGCUCCUUUGACCCUUCUCUCUUCAAGUAGAUUAUAUGGAGCUGGAGUAUAGAUUACAGAUCACUCAGUCUACCUCUCCUCACACACCACCUGAGUAUCGAGCUGACAUUCUGUCUCUUGCUAUAUGGAAUUUUCAGGGAACAUAUUACAAUUUUCAUAAAACAUUUUAUUUUGUGCACGCAUGUGUGCAUGGUGUGUGUGUGUGUGUGUGUGUGUGUGUGUGUGUGUGUGUGUUUCAGUUCCCUCCUUCCAUUAUGUGGAUGCCGGGGCUGAAAGUCAGGUCACCAGGCUUGGCAGCUGCCUUUAACUGCUGAGUGAUCUGACUGGCCCUAGGGACUGUUUUUAAAAAACAAAAUAUAUAUAUAUAUAUAUGCAUGCAUGCAAUUUGGCUUUUUAGAAGCUCUUAAAUUUAACAUGACACAUUUUAUGAGUACACACUAAUUUAGCAGCAAAGGUCUUAUUAAAUGACGAAGGUCAGAUGUUAGGAGAAAGAUAAACAGGAAAGACCCAUUAUGCAUUCUAAGGCGUCCAAGCAACACGGAGGAUAGAAUUAGAAAGGCAGCCCUGGGGGUUGGGGAUUUAGCUCAGUGGUAGAGCGCUUGCCUAGCAAGCGCAAGGCCCUGGGUUCGGUCCCCAGCUCCGAAAAAAAAAAAAAAAAAAAAAAAAAAAAAAAAAAAAAAAAAAAAGAAAGGCAGCCCUGGACCCAGAGCUGAUCCUUGGGAAGUCAUAAAGCCUCGGACUCUCAGCCCGUCUCUCCCUAUUUUUUGGCAUUCUGCACAUGUCCUUAUGUGGGGUGCUGUCCCUUCCCAGACCUUCAGUUCCCACCAUGAACUUUAGGCUGCAUGCAGUGUGCUGGAGAGAGCUUCAGGCAGAACUUUUCCUGGUAAUUCCACAAUAAAAAUGGCUGUGAACUGAGGGUGACCAGUCUUCUGAUUGCCAGAAAGCGACGAGGAGCUACAAGAAACUCUAAGAAGAAGCAUGGUUCUUCCCUGUUUGUUAUGUCACAACGUAUCCUGCCCUGCCACUGUCCUGCUCCUGCCCUGCCACCGCGGCUCGCUCUCUUCUGACUGACCACCCACACCUCCGGGCAUCCUCGCAUGGCAACGUCGUUCCUUAAAACGAAGACGCUCCCCAGGAUCCAGGCAGCAGUGGUUGGAGUCUGGGCAUUUGGAUCCCGGCAGCUUGAGCUAGAAGCUACAAGCCACGUGGCAGUCAGCCGAUCUGGGCUGGGAGGGGCUGGAGGGGAAAUCAAAAACCUGAUGAUUAAUCUCGGCACCAUGCUCUUUACUGGUGGCCUCUUAAAGCACUGGCAUCCUUAUUAUUUUAUAUGCAAUGACACAGAAUUGUGGAAAUAUUAAGAACUUUCGGACAGCUUGAGGAACAUAAGGGUUGUAUGAAGACUAAUGGGGAAGAAAGAGGUAAUUUGCGGUAAAGAGAGGGGGUAACUGCCAUUUAUUACAGUGAAGAAAUUCCCACUUUCUCCAAAGUUGGUAGUGUUAAAAAAUCACCGUUUUAACUUAACAAACAAACAAAACAAAAAUUAAUUUGAAACAAGGUCUGACCAUAUAUCCUAGGAUGGCUUGGGAUUUAUCUCAGACUGGCUUUGAAUCCUUGACCUUCCUGCCUCAGCAUCCCAAGGGCUGGUUGUCUGGCCCCAAAAGAACUCAGGGCAAAUGCCUAACCACGGUGCCAAUUAGCAUACCAAAGCCAGCUUCACUCGGUAAGUUUGGCUUCUCCCGCCUCUUCUGACCCUGCCCCUUGGCUUCUCCCAGCUCUUCUGACCCCGCCCCCUACCCUAAACCUUUCCAGCCCAGGGGCUCGCUUCUGCAUCUUCUCCUUCCUUUAUAACCCUUCCAUUUCAGCUCUGCAUCAUCUUGGUUCUCUGCUCUGACUCCUUCCUCUCUUGGUCCUCUCUCUCACUCUCCUUUGCCCUCUCUCUCCUCUUCUUUUCUCGCUCUCCCUUCUUAUCUCUCCCUUCAUAGCCAGUUCAGUCUAUGUUUUCUCUCCUUGCUCUGGACUCUUCCAGAUGCCUCUGUCUGUACUGUUCUUUCUCUCUCUCUCUCUCUCUCUCUCUCUCUCUCUCUCUCUCUCUCUCUCUCUCAUCUACAUUCAAACUAGGAAAAGAAAGACUCUACAUUGCAAGAGAGGAAAUGGGCAGAGAGAAAACGGGCAGAGUUCACUAGCCCAAACCGCUCCACCUAAUGAAGAAUUGGACUUUUAUGUAACUAUCUCCUGCUUUGGAGCUCAUUUGCAUAGUGUGGGCUUUUCUGAGUAUGCACUGUCUGUUUUAUGUAGUUCUGCAUAUAACGUCAUUAAUCACGUCUCGUUAGCCACUUAAAGUUCCACCAAGCUUUGUGUGUUUUAGUAUCACGGUGAGGCAUAGGCCACCCUCAGCUGCUCUGCGACGCCUUUGCCAAUGGUUUCGGCCAGUUUUAACCAGGUGUGUGUGUGUGUGUGUGUGUGUGUGUGUGUGUGUGUGUGUAAGAGACAAACAGAUAAGGGGGAGGGGUUCUUCCUAUAUAACUCAGGCUGCCCUUAAACUCAUAAUCUUCCUGCCUCAUUUUCCCAAGUUCUGGAGUUACAGAUAUGCAGCACCACUCCUGAUAUGUGAGUGAAGAUUUAAACAGGAUGAACGGCAUGGCAAACACUUUCAAGUUUUUGUUUCCAUCUCUUGGAAAUAAAAAUCUAGAGGUCAGAAUCCAGGGAGAAAGUCAGGAAUCCACUUUACACAACCUGAACUAUUUGCAAGUCCCACCGAUGGCAUGAGGGGCGGAAGGUGUAGAAAGUCCUGCAGAUGCUUAUUUAGUGGGACAAACAGAUGCUCUAAGACCAGCUCUGGGCAUGAAGGGGAACAGCUGAGUUGAAUACGGAGCUAGGCCACUUAGCAAGCACUACGCUUGGCAUUAUGGGAAAGCUUCGCUAUUGGGCAGAAACCGGAAGAAAGGGAAAGAAAGCUCAUGCUGGGAAGGCGGGGAAAGGAGGCCUCCCUUCCACCCAUGCACGCACGCAGGCAGUGCUCUGUGCUGCCUUGUGUACACAAGGCACCGUGCAGCUUAUUGAUGGCAUCGAGCAGUUCAUUCUUGCUCAGUCUUGUUCUACCUUUUCUUGGUACUUACCCGACCUCCAGCCACGUGGUGCGAACCCCAGAGCCCAGAAGACCAAGAAAAUUCCUUCUUCACGGUCCUCAACAAGUUCUCCUUCAUUCCAACAGAGUCAGACCCAGGCCAAUCGAUUUUUGCCACCAGAGGAGUGCGCAAAAAGAUGGGAAAGGGGCAGCUGAGACUUCACUAUGACUGGAAAUAAUGAAAUCUCCCUGCGAAGGUGUCAGUAAUGCUAGCCUUCCCUCUCACUAGACAGUCACAAGGUGUCUUUUCCCCACCUCUAUCCCCGGGCAGGGGUGCUGAGGUGUUAGAAGAAGCCAAGUGUGAGCCUGUUGCUGGGACUUUCAGCAGGAGUCAAUGGUUGUAUGAGGACGAAUCCCACCUCCUGAGAAUCCAUGGCUUUAUCUGAAAAUCUAAAAUUUGUUUUGCACCCUGUAAACAUAUUGUUACUUCAAAAUAAAGUCUUUUUUUUCACUCCCAA
Rattus norvegicus (Norway rat) is the source of this 4086-nucleotide non-coding RNA. The record is from RefSeq and is a predicted model, not a curated record. Lineage: Eukaryota; Metazoa; Chordata; Mammalia; Rodentia; Muridae.